This 200-nucleotide long non-coding RNA is filed under the name Capsicum annuum. RNAcentral describes it as "long non-coding RNA (CANN_LNC003403)". Lineage: Eukaryota; Viridiplantae; Streptophyta; Magnoliopsida; Solanales; Solanaceae. The record is from RNAcentral.
GCAUACCGAUUUGGUUUGAAAAUGCCCUGUUCGCAACUUUUCGCCCGUUUGUUCAUGAAAAUGGCCACAAAAUGUUAAAUGGACCACACUGGGAUGAUCCCCAACCUCCCUGAUAUGCCUCGGUCGAUUUUUGUUGCACAGCACACCCAGACUACGGGCCCAAUCCUAAAAUUGUGGGCUAUAGCACACCGAUUUGGCCC